RNAcentral lists this long non-coding RNA (888 nucleotides) under Homo sapiens (human). RNAcentral describes it as "HSALNT0323845". The record is from RNAcentral. Lineage: Eukaryota; Metazoa; Chordata; Mammalia; Primates; Hominidae.
GGCCGCGGCGGCGGCGGCUCCGCUCGCCCCGGGAGGGAGCCCGCGGCCAGGGCUGGACUCUCGCCCCGCCACCUCCACCGACUCUCUCCUCAGCCUCCGCGCCUGGCACCGCAGCAAGACUUGAAUGAAGUGAUCAUGUAAACUAGAGAAAGGAGAUUAAAAAUAACCUCUGGAUAUUCCUCUCAUGUGAUCUUUAUUCUGGAUGAAGCAUUAGGACAGCUAAUAGCCGUGUGUCACUUGAAAAUGAAAGGUGGUGAAACUGGAGGCAAAAAAAAAAUGAAGCAAAGAUGCUUUUAUUUUCUUUACUCUGAAGUUAUUUUGCCGGUAGAAAAAUGAGGGAACAUUGAGAUAAUAAAAGAGCCUGCAGCUGUGAAGAAAAGCUCUCAGAAUUCUCAAAGACAAGAGCACAUAGUCUGAGAGGUUUUGCCACUGACAUUGCUAAAUUUGAAAACUCCAAAAUUCUUUCUGCAAUGUGUGAAGAGGACUAAGACUAAAUAUUAUAAUUGUUAAUAAACAGUGAAAAGAAAAUAAAUUGUAUUAUCUACAUGUAUGAAUAUAUACACAUAAUCCCUGACUCAGCAUGGUUCAACUUACAAUUUUUUGACUUUACUGUGUUACAAAACACUACACACUUUCACUAUACUCCUUGAAUGACAACAGGGUUACAUCUGGAGGAACCCAUGACUUUGCCUGAUUGAGGAUAACUGAAACCAUGGAAAGGUAAACCAUGGAUAAGGGGAGAUGACUGUAUCUACGUGUGUGUCAGACAGAAUAUUCAUUUGGACACGUGGGCAGAAAAUGGCCUUUCCCAGCCGCAUGCAGUAGCUCAUGCCUGUAAUCCCUGAAGGCCGAGGUGGGAAGAUUGCUUGAGCCCAGGAGUUUGAGACC